Molecule: long non-coding RNA, 5310 nt
Organism: Chelonia mydas (Green sea turtle)
Lineage: Eukaryota; Metazoa; Chordata; Testudines; Cheloniidae
Exons: 3
Source: RefSeq, a predicted model, not a curated record
CAAGAAGGCCAAUGUCCGUGGUUCCUGGCCAAUGGGAGCUAUGGAGUCAGCAGUCAGGGCAGGGGCAAUGCACAAAGACCCCCUGGCUGCCUCUGCACCUAGGAGCUGGACAUGCUGGUCGCUUCCCGCUACACCGUCGACCGGACUUUUAGCGACCUAUUAAAAUCUCCCUGAGCUUUCAAUGGUCACCAGUAGAUCGAUGCCAAUUUCAUCAGACUCCUGGACAAUCCAGGAGGGUUGGCAACCCUACUUGACUGUCUAGAGUUUUAUUAAGGAGUCCUGAGAGAAGGGAAAACAGAGGCAAGAUGCCACAGAACCACUCCAGGUCAUGCGGGAGCACUUGUGAAGAGGCAGCCCUGCAACACACCAUAACAAGAUCACACACUACUUUGCUGCUGUGGUAUUGUAUGAAGGGGAUUUUGCAAUUCCAUGCUAAAGAAGGCAAAUGAUUAGUCACUAAAGAAUUCAUUAACCUGGCCAAACCUGACAAAGCCAACAACUCUGCUAACUACCCAAAUAAUUUCCAACUUUCCUUUUCUUAGCAAGAUCAUUUAAGAAGGUGGUACUAUCUCAGUUGUAGAAGUACUUGUCCUCUGCCAAUAUCCAGCAUCUCUUUCAGAACAGGACAUGGCAUAAAAAUUGCUCCUAGACUGCAGGUUCCACUUGUUUCUAUCAGACAGAUCAUAGUGUUUUCAUGGGCACCUGCUACUUGUCAUCCAUUCUACAUGAGACCACUUGGUGAGUUCUUGUGAUGCCUUGGACUUUAGUGAGAAUUGAGAAUGAUUAGGACCUUCCAGAAUUGGGCAUUUAGUUUGCACACAAACAAUGACAGUUCUACCUCCUGUUUCUACUUCUCCAACUUUUCUGCUAGCUUUUCCAUUAUCCUCAACUUCACCAACUUCAUAACAUAGGACUAUAUUUCAUAGGCUUCAGAAGUGUACUAUAGUUACCGACUUAAAAAUCUACACUGAACAACAUUUCCAUUAAAUGGAAGAAAUGGACUGCAUGCUUUCCUCCUGUAAUUUACACACUAAUUGAGGUGUAAAUCAAAUACACUCUUAAAAUAUUGUAUAAAAACAGAUACUUUUUCUUAUAUUACCUUUUCAGCUGCCAUUGUGAAGUACUUAAAAGCAGAAGCAUUACUCUGUGUCACUGCAACACUUCCUUCUAAAAACAUCUGAUCAACAUAAAGAAAAGGAGAUAUUUGCUCCUUAGAUAUGUGUUAUGAAUCCGUGCCUAUCCAGUUUCUCAUAAAAAAUAUAAACAGUAGGACAAAGUCUGCUCCUACUUCCACUUGUACAUCCCCAAUAAAGCCAAUGACAUUGUAUAGACAUAAUUGAGAACAGAACUUUGCCAGUUCUCUCCCACGCAUGAGUUUUUUCUGAUUGGUUUAAUGUUCUAAAUUUUUAUUGAUUUAUACUGAGUAUACACUAAUAGAAUCAUGUUAAUUACUUGUUUGUAACUUGUUUUCUUAAAAAAGCCUUUAGGUUAUUUGUAACAACUUCUGAGGCCAAGAUUUUCAAAAGCGACUGGUGAUUUUUGGGUGCCUCCUUUUUAGUGCCCAAACUGAGACAUUCUUAUUUGGAGAUGAAGUUCAGAAAGUGGUCAACACCCUCCUGUGGAAAUUAGGCCCUCAUGAGGCAUCUCAAAUUGGACACCCCAAAAUGGAGGCACCCAAAAUAAUGAUUCCCUUUGGAAAAUCUUGGCCGAGGUAGCUUGAGGAUAUAUUUUUCUCUACAAGUUUUAUCCUUUCAAUAGCUAGCUGAUGCUGAUUUCCUUCCAGGGUUUCUAUUAGAGCUGAAAUGUAAAUGGGGUUUUUUGUUCAUCAGCACUAUUAAGUUUCAGCAGAGUUCAGUGUAUAAACAGGGAGUGACAUUGGUUUUGUGAUGAACCAUUACUUUUAUAUAUUUUUUUAUUUUCACUUGGUGACAGAAUAGCAAAACUUUAUAAGUAUUCCACUAGAUACAAAUAUUAAAGUACUUUGGGCCCCAAACCUGGCCAAUAUGACAACAUCGCUUUAAAGUUCUAUUCCACUGUGUUAUUUUGAUCAUGAUAAGUAUUGUGGACCUAAGUCAGUCCUCUGUUCUACCUGUGGCAUCUCAUUGAACUCAAUGCAAGUGAAGACAGAGGUUGGCUCUGUAUCUUUACAUACAGAUAUAAAAUUAGUACUGGUUUGAAAUAAGUAAUUCACUUUAUGUAGCAUUUCAACAAACAUUUUCAACGGUGGCUUUGGUCAUAAAUGAAAUGUAUGUCUUUGGUCAUCUGUCUCUUUACUAGUAGGCAUUUCUUGUUGGCAUUACAGUAACUAACUCUAAUAUACCCUGUUCUACACUGAGUUAUUAGAUACCUGAUUUCUUAGGCCAGAUUCUACCGCCUCACUCUGGGAAGUGGAUGGGGAGGAGAAUGGAUAAUUUGCUACACCCCUUACCAGGUGUCAAAUAUUUGUCCACCCCCCAUAUGUUAGCUAAGUUCUGCUGAAUUUUGAUGCUGCCACCUCCUGUCCCUUCCUACCCACAUGCUGAUGGUAGGGAGUAGCAGUUGUGUGGAGCCUGCUCUGACCCCAGUAUCUUGAGCCAAGAUGUGGGGUGGCUGUAUGGGGAGGCAAGGGGAAGGUCCUAAUACCCUUGCACCCCUAGGUGGCUACUUUAGGUUUAGCCAUUAUCUAGUCCUUGAUUGUUGCAAUUUACCAAAUUAAUCUCAUGAAAAGUAAUACGUACCUUUCCCAGGAAUGCCAUACCAUGUGUAUUCCCUGCUUUUGCUGCCUUUAGGAAAUAGUAGAAAGCUUUCUGAAUAAAAAGCAAUAACAAAGUUACAAUUUUUCACCUGAAAAAGGUGUUUUUGUAAAUUUCAACCAAGACAAAUGUUUUGCACAGCUUUACACCUCCUCUUGAUUUAGACAGACCAGAAAAUGUCACAACGCAACACUGAAAAUAGCUUUACACAUUUAGGCUCUGAACCUACAAACGCUUACACACAAGUAUAAUUUUAUGCCCAUGUGUAGUCCCACUCAAUAGGACUAUUAAUGCAUGUUAGCCUUUGCAGAAUCAGGGCCUUAGUAUGACAAGUGAGCGGUGGCUGAAUCAAAGGUAAGAACAAAGCAUCUAGAUCCGUUACCUAAGAAGAGUCUGACCUUAGACAGGAACAGAUUGACAGUGUUGAGGCCACAUGAACAAAUUUUUACAAAUUCUUGUUAUAGUGUAUGUGACCAUAAGAAAAAAACUUUAGUGUUCCCCAUAAUGUGAAUUAGCUUUCAGAAAUAUCAUUUUAAUCUUUAAAAUACAUCCCCUCCCACAAUUAUCAAUGUCAGUUUUGUGUCGGAAAACACUCAGAUAAGCACAAAUUGUCAUCAGUAUAAGAACAUAAGAAUGGCCAUACUUGGUCAAACCAAAGGUCCAUCCACCCCAGUAUUCUGUCUGCCGACUGUGGCCAAUGCCAGGUGCCCCAGAGGGAGUGAACCUAACAGAUAAUCAUCAAGUGAUCUCUCUCCUGCCAUCCAUCUCCACCUUCUGACAAACAGAGGCUAGGGACACCAUUCCUUACCCAUCCUGGCUAAUAGCCACAAGUAUCACAUGCAAGUAUCACAUGCUUUUUAUAUGUACAUGAAUUACAGUAUAUGUCUUCUUACAGGGCCAGUCUUAGGCACAAGGAACUGCUUAGAUCUUUGGAUUUUUGAGGACCCUGAAAGCUGCACUGACCCAAGAACAAGAAAUAGAGCUGCCAAAUAUAUAAUUUACAAACCAAAAUCAUCUGGGAUAUCAAAUUUCCUCCAAGACUUCCAAAUGUGUAAUAAACAAGUGCCUAAAACAUAGAAACAAAAAAUUAUACAAGGAAUGAAGAAACAAAACCAGUAGUAUUUUUGAAACAGAGGACCCAAGAAAUUCACAAUUCAGCAUGAUACUCCCCCAUAUCCUCCAAGCAAGUUUGGUGUUGAAUUAUGCUGUUUAGCGUAUGGUCAGUGGCUAAUAAAUUUUACCAUCAGCCAUGAUUUAAUCAGGGAUGAGAACUCUGGCAUAGCAUUGAUAACUGAGAUAUGGCUGGAUGAAGCUUCACCAUGAGUAACUGGCCCAGCUGAUUUCUACGAGAUAUUUAGUUCAGCAUGAACUCUGAGAAGGGACUGUGAAGGAGUGGCUGUGAUUUUUUUAUAUCCAAUGUGAGACAUAGGAGGUUACUUGCUCUAAGGCCUUGAUUCAGUAAAGUACUUAAAUAUGUUCAUAGUUAUGCAUUUGUGUAAGUGUUGUGUGUGUUCAAUUGUGGAUUAAAACAGGAUCAAAUAGAAUAUGUCCAUCUAAUGUAUGAGUCACAGGAUGACAUAAGGAAGGACUUGGUGGUAGUUUACAGAUCUCCCUUCACCUAGUCCUUCCACAGUGCAGUGCUGGUGAUGAUUCUUUUGGACUGGUUUAUAGCCAUUAAUGUAAUCUGAUUACUAUAAGGUUGUCCCAGGUGUUUUCCAUUAGAUACCCUGGCCUUGGAAUCUCUUAAUCUAUAAAAUCAGUUCUAUGACUUAAUUCUCUCCUUAAAUAAAUAAAUGGAAGAGCUAUGGGACCUUAGCCAUUUACAGUGCUAGACUAUAGCACUGGUCCAAGACAGUAAAACAUCAUACUUUAAAUUGUAGCUAUAUUUUGCUCUGAUACCAUUUAUGGAUCCAUCAAUUAUUUUAAUAGGAUUUACAGGAUUCCACUGGAUUUAAGCACUAAUGCUAUUGUGAGCCAGUGCCUGCAGAACAGCACUUACUUAGAUUGAAUAUUGUGGUGAAAUUAUAAAUUAUUUAAUGUGUUUCAGAAUAUUUGGUUCUCUUUUGUAGAGCCUGUCACCAUGGAAAUUAGGCACUAAUGAAGGAAAUUCAACAAACAAAAGACAAUAAAAUGUUAACAUGAAUGGAUCUUGAAUUUCAUCCUGAUGAUCUCUAGAGUCUGGUUUUCCCAAGAGGAGCCAAAUUCAAAGGUGGAGGCUUUCAACUAACACUACUACUGCUGGCCCUUGGGGGGGGGGGAUUCUGUUCCUCACUCUUGCCCCUAUAUAUCACUAGUUCCUCUACAAAUUCCAGGAUAGAGGAAGCUCUGGUGGGAACUGAGCAAGAUGGGAAAGGGUGGGGGAACAGCACAUGCUGCUACAGCCAUUUUGGCUUGUACCACAAGCCAUUGCAGUAGUAGGGAGGCUGCUGUAAUUCUUAGUUGCUCCCAAGGUUUCCUGGGUUAUGCAAAGAGGGGCAUUUUGGCUCCCACAGAAGCCCUGAAUUCAGAGGGUGCAAACAUGGCUUAAAGUCAUGCUCACUUUGGGUUUUUCCUUCAGUAUUGCACCUGCAGGGAGCAA